CCUACGGGGGGCAGCAGUGGGGAAUAUUGCGCAAUGGGCGAAAGCCUGACGCAGCGACGCCGCGUGAGGGAUGAAGGUCUUCGGAUCGUAAACCUCUGUCAGCAGGGAAGAACGGUCACUGUGCUAAUCAGCAGUGAAUUGACGGUACCUGCAAAGGAAGCACCGUCUAACUCCGGGCCAGCAGCCUCUGUAAUACGGAGGGUGCGAGCGUGAAUCGGAAGUUCUGGGCGUAAAGCGCUCGUAGGCGGUAUGUCAAGUCAAGGGUGAAAUCCGCGCGCUCAACGUGGGAACUGCCUUUGAAACUGGACAACUGGAGUGUGUGAGAGGAAAGUGGAAUUCCAGGUGUAGGGGUGAAAUGCGUAGAUAUCAGGAGGAACACCAGUGGCGAAGGCGACUAUCUGGCACAUAACUGACGCUGAGGAGCGAAAGCGUGGGUAGCAAACAGGAUUAGAUACCCUAGUAGUC
This 465-nucleotide ribosomal RNA is filed under the name uncultured bacterium. RNAcentral's name for it is "partial 16S ribosomal RNA". It matches the Rfam family "Bacterial small subunit ribosomal RNA", at positions 338 to 795 of the family's 1533-position model. The record is from RNAcentral.